RNAcentral lists this long non-coding RNA (325 nucleotides) under Linum usitatissimum (flax). RNAcentral describes it as "long non-coding RNA (LUSI_LNC001524)". The record is from RNAcentral. Lineage: Eukaryota; Viridiplantae; Streptophyta; Magnoliopsida; Malpighiales; Linaceae.
UCUUUCCAAUGCAUGGUCCUUCAUACAACAUAAUCAAUAAAGAUGCAGAGCAAGUUCAUAAGAAGAUGCAUUUCACUUCAGUGAAUAUAUCUGUAUUUAUAUAGAUUACUAGUAAUUUGGUGGUGGUAAGAGGAGGAGGAUACCACCUAGCCCUGACAAUACAACUCCAAAGGGACCAGAGUUUUAACCACAUAGCACAUACUAGACAUUAGGAAAUAGAGAUUGAUAUUAUCAAGCUUUGGAAUUACCCAUGUUGCAUCACCACCUUCAGCACCACUACCGAGACUAGAAAGUCCAAAGGAGCCAAGGACAGCAGAGACGAUCU